UGCGCCUUGCCAGCCCGCUCAGGUGUGCCAGCGCCGCGGUAAUACGGAGGAUGCGAGCGUUAUCCGGAUUUACUGGGUGUAAAGGGCGUGUAGCGGGACUGCAAGUCAGAUGUGAAAACCAUGGGCUCAACCUGUGGCCUGCAUUGAAACUGUAGUUCUUGAGUACUGGAGAGGCAGACGGAAUUCCUAGUGUAGCGGUGGAAUGCGUAGAUAUAUGGAAGAACACCAGUGGCGAAGGCGGCUGUCUGGUCUGCAACUGACGCUGAGGCUCGAAAGCAUGGGUAGCGAACAGG
RNAcentral lists this ribosomal RNA (293 nucleotides) under uncultured bacterium. RNAcentral describes it as "partial 16S ribosomal RNA". It matches the Rfam family "Bacterial small subunit ribosomal RNA", at positions 474 to 776 of the family's 1533-position model. The record is from RNAcentral.